AUCCAGCUGACGAGUCCGAAACAGGAUGAAAAGCGCAUCAAACUGGAU
Non-coding RNA from Schistosoma rodhaini, 48 nucleotides. The record is from Rfam. NCBI's taxonomy places the organism in Eukaryota, Metazoa, Platyhelminthes, Trematoda, Strigeidida, Schistosomatidae.